RNAcentral lists this ribosomal RNA (499 nucleotides) under uncultured Glomeromycotina. RNAcentral describes it as "partial small subunit ribosomal RNA". It matches the Rfam family "Eukaryotic small subunit ribosomal RNA", at positions 591 to 1092 of the family's 1831-position model. Lineage: Eukaryota; Fungi; Glomeromycota. The record is from RNAcentral.
CCAAUAGCGUAUAUUAAAGUUGCUGCAGUUAAAAAGCUCGUAGUUGAAUUUCGGAACCAAUAUGUUGGUUGUGCCUCGGUACGUACUGGCAUUGUUGGUUUCUCCCUUCUGACGAACUAUGAUGUCAUUAAUUUGGUGUCAUGGGGAAUCAGGACUGUUACUUUGAAAAAAUUAGAGUGUUUAAAGCAGGCUCACGCUUGAAUACAUUAGCAUGGAAUAAUGAAAUAGGACGUUUGAUUCUAUUUUGUUGGUUUCUAGGAUUGACGUAAUGAUUAAUAGGGAUAGUUGGAGGCAUUAGUAUUCAAUUGUCAGAGGUGAAAUUCUUGGAUUUAUUGAAGACUAACUACUGCGAAAGCAUUUGCCAAGGAUGUUUUCAUUAAUCAAGAACGAAAGUUAGGGGAUCGAAGACGAUCAGAUACCGUCGUAGUCUUAACCAUAAACUAUGCCGACUAGGGAUCGGAUGAUGUUAAUUUUUUAAUGACUCAUUCGGCGCCUUACG